CACGUAGGGUGCGAGCGUUGUCCGGAAUUAUUGGGCGUAAAGAGCUCGUAGGCGGUGUGUCGCGUCGGCCGUGAAAACCUGCAGCUUAACUGUGGGCGUGCGGUCGAUACGGGCAUCACUGGAGUUCGGCAGGGGAGACUGGAAUUCCUGGUGUAGCGGUGAAAUGCGCAGAUAUCAGGAGGAACACCGGUGGCGAAGGCGGGUCUCUGGGCCGAUACUGACGCUGAGGAGCGAAAGCGUGGGGAGCAAAACGG
RNAcentral lists this ribosomal RNA (254 nucleotides) under uncultured bacterium. RNAcentral describes it as "partial 16S ribosomal RNA". It matches the Rfam family "Bacterial small subunit ribosomal RNA", at positions 524 to 776 of the family's 1533-position model. The record is from RNAcentral.